AUUAUGGCUACAGGUGUGGCUACAGGUGUGGCUGCUGUGUCACAGGUGUGCCAGUAGGUGGUGGAAAGGAGAGAGGCUAUGUCUACGCUCAAGAGUCCUCACCAAUGACUAUCUGAAUAAUUAGCAGCCUAACAAU
Small nucleolar RNA from Mastomys coucha (southern multimammate mouse), 136 nucleotides. RefSeq annotates it as small nucleolar RNA SNORA17. The record is from RefSeq and is a predicted model, not a curated record. The transcript has a single exon. NCBI's taxonomy places the organism in Eukaryota, Metazoa, Chordata, Mammalia, Rodentia, Muridae.